GCCUAACACAUUGCAAGUCGAGCGGAUGAGGGAAGCUUGCUUCCUGAUUUAGCGGCGGACGGGUGAGUAAUGCCUAGGAAUCUGCCUGUUAGUGGGGGAUAACGUUCCGAAAGGAACGCUAAUACCGCAUACGUCCUACGGGAGAAAGUGGGGGAUCUUCGGACCUCACGCUAACAGAUGAGCCUAGGUCGGAUUAGCUAGUAGGUGAGGUAAUGGCUCACCUAGGCUACGAUCCGUAACUGGUCUGAGAGGAUGAUCAGUCACACUGGAACUGAGACACGGUCCAGACUCCUACGGGAGGCAGCAGUGGGGAAUAUUGGACAAUGGGCGAAAGCCUGAUCCAGCCAUGCCGCGUGUGUGAAGAAGGUCUUCGGAUUGUAAAGCACUUUAAGUUGGGAGGAAGGUCUGUAAGUUAAUACCUUGCAGUCUUGACGUUACCAACAGAAUAAGCACCGGCUAACUCUGUGCCAGCAGCCGCGGUAAUACAGAGGGUGCAAGCGUUAAUCGGAAUUACUGGGCGUAAAGCGCGCGUAGGUGGUUUGGUAAGUUGAAUGUGAAAGCCCCGGGCUCAACCUGGGAACUGCAUCCAAAACUGCCUGACUAGAGUACGGUAGAGGGUGGUGGAAUUUCCUGUGUAGCGGUGAAAUGCGUAGAUAUAGGAAGGAACACCAGUGGCGAAGGCGACCACCUGGACUGAUACUGACACUGAGGUGCGAAAGCGUGGGGAGCAAACAGG
Molecule: ribosomal RNA, 736 nt
Filed under: uncultured bacterium
Lineage: Bacteria
Description: bacterial SSU rRNA
Rfam family: Bacterial small subunit ribosomal RNA
Source: RNAcentral